This 81-nucleotide transfer RNA is filed under the name Pseudomonas putida. RNAcentral describes it as "tRNA-Ser(gct)". RNAcentral also lists the same sequence under 2 other names. The record is from RNAcentral. Lineage: Bacteria; Pseudomonadati; Pseudomonadota; Gammaproteobacteria; Pseudomonadales; Pseudomonadaceae.
GUACAGCGUGGCCAGGCCAGGUGUUGCCUUUUGCUACAAGGCCUUGGCGCGUAACGCCUGGCUGCGCUCCAGGGCUGCUCU